UGGACCAGCGACUGGUCAGUGACCACUGUUUACGCCCUUGAUUUUCCUCGAAGGCGAUUGUAGCGAAAUAUAUUCUCGCUAUGCCGCAGUGUUCCUUAUCUAGGGCUAGAUCAGCGAGCUGGAUUCUCGCAGGAAAGAUCGCGCGGCCGGCCAGGAAUCGGCGCCGAUGGAGGUGAGAAUUCGAGGCGCCGGCAGGUUUUCACAAGAUCGGCAUCGAAUUGCUACCUAGGGAAGAAGAUCUCCAAGAAUUCGCAAGGAUUUUGCUAGAUCGUGUCGAAUUCCUGGUGGAUAGGUGAAAUAUCGCGCGGCAAGCUGAGGUAGAGCCGAUAAUCCAUCGAAUUCCAGCCGGAUCUGGGAGCUAUGGCGCACGAUAACGACUAUGAAAGAUCUUCGCCGGCCGCCGUCAACACCAGGAUCAUGGUCGCGGCAGUGGUGGUGCUGUUCGUGGUCGUGCUCUUCAUCCUCUUCUUGCACAUCUACGCGCGCUGGUUCUGGCGUAGCGCCAGGCUCAGGGCUGCCGCGAGGGGCGGAUCAGGCGGCCGGGCUUGGUCGCGGCGAUUUGGCAGGCGGAGGAGAAUGCGAUUCACGGUCGAGCCCGGGAUUGCCGCCAACGGCGUGGUGGUGCCGAGCAAGGGAUUGGACAAGGAGGUGCUGGAAUCGCUCCCCAUCUUCUUCUACACGAAGAAAGAUGGAGAGGUGGUCAAAGAAGGCGACCGCGAAGAGGAGGAGGAGGAGGAGAUCUUGGAGUGUGCCGUGUGCUUGUCCGAGUUUGAGGAGAACGAAGCUGGGCGGAGGCUACCAAAAUGCGGCCAUGUCUUCCACACCGAGUGCAUCGAUAUGUGGUUCUCUUCCCACUCGACGUGCCCGCUGUGUAGAACCAGCGUGGGAUUGGAGGCUUCCAGCGAUCGAGAUCGAGACCUCGAGCGAGGCGAGGCCGCGGAAGCUAUAGCGGUGGAGGGUGGAAGCAGCAACGGGUCUCAAGGCGAGCAGCUGCUACGAGAGGCUGCGGUAUCGGGUCUGAUCACUGGCACGAAUGCUUCUCCAGCGGUUUCCAGCACAGGUGGUACUACUGCUAUAGCAAUUCAGAUCCUCCAGGACGAAGGAGCGAUUCUACUCCAGGAGCAAAGCGGUCCUUCGUCAAGCUCGUCGGGAUUGAAAGGUCAGUCAUCUCAGCAGCAGCACUUUCCAGCCAGCGUUUUGUUCUGGGGGAAUCGCUCGUAUACAAACUCCAACAGUGCUACAGUUGGUUCUUCGUCGGCGGCGGCAUCUCAACAACAACAAGAACAGCACGAGACGGCGACGACGACUGUUGCUACUGCCGCGUCUUACACGCCAUCGCCCAAGAAGCAGCGACGCGAGCUCAUCAUCGAUGUCCCUCGUCGAUCCGCCGCCAACUUCUCGUCGGCGUGCUCCUCGCAGUUGCCUUCGCCCAAUUCGGCAGAAGGUGGGGGGCAAAGAUCCCCGCUGGGAGCGCACCUCCGGAGCAUCAAGAGACUCCUGAGCAGGGACUCGAGGCGCGACACUUCGCCAUCUCCAGUCGGACGAGAUUGCUGUGAAUCAUCGCAGUAUCACUCGGCUUGUCACACGCCGGGAUCCAUCACCCCGACAUCACAGUGCUGAUUUUUAAAACUCUGUUAGCAUACGGAAGUUUGCAUCGAUACGUUAACUGUAAACAAAACAGUGUCCUCGUAACCAGCGGAACCAAGAAUAUGAGCGAAAGAGAGAAAAAAAAAAAAAAAAACAGAGAAAUCCUGUGCGACUAGAGACUGAAC
This is an RNA transcript of Selaginella moellendorffii, 1772 nucleotides long. It is a transcript of the gene named RING-H2 finger protein ATL3-like, with no coding region annotated. The record is from RefSeq and is a predicted model, not a curated record. Lineage: Eukaryota; Viridiplantae; Streptophyta; Lycopodiopsida; Selaginellales; Selaginellaceae. The transcript has 3 exons.